Long non-coding RNA from Teleopsis dalmanni, 937 nucleotides. RefSeq lists it as uncharacterized. The record is from RefSeq and is a predicted model, not a curated record. The transcript has 3 exons. Lineage: Eukaryota; Metazoa; Arthropoda; Insecta; Diptera; Diopsidae.
UUUCAUACAAAAUGGAUGUUAGCACUAUGCUUAAAAAACAUAUAUGUAAUGGACUCGAAUGACAGAUCUUAUAAUUGGUGUCAUGAAUAUAUCGAGAAAUUAUAACAGUCACAUGGAAAAUUCAGUGUCAAUUUUUGUAAAUGAGAUGAAAUAAUCUGUUCAUAUAUCAUCUGUGCAUCCCAUCAACCAGAUAAUAUUAAAAUAAUGAACGUCGGUAGCAAUCCAGCAACUAGUUCUAAUCAAACUAAAGUUAACUAUAGUAAAUCAGUCAAGUUCGCUUGAAGUCAUUAAUGCCCAACUGCCUACUGGAUGCUAUGCUGCUGCUACUGGAAAGGAUCAAUCUAUCUACAUUUAAGUUCUUGGGCAAUCAAAUUAAGGGAAACGGUUCUAAGCCAAAAACUGCAAAUAGAAAUCUGUAAAGUUUUCGAGCCAAUCGCUUAAAUGAAACCAUCUGUGGAGCAGCAGGGGUACACAUCGCUUUACUUUCCUCAAUGGAUGUAAAAUGAAAAUAUUUUGGAACGAGUGCUCCAAGCACAUGCGAGUUAAUGAAUUAAGACAAUUAAUAUAUUGACAUUAUUUGCAAUCUAUGGAGCAAACAGAAGUUACAAACGAAUAAGAAUUAAUUAAACUUUUUAUGCCCAUAAAAAUCUAAUUUUAAUUUUCCGGUGGCGUUAACGUUAUUUUAAAAAUAUGUACAAUUCACAGCAGCAAAAGUAUUUAAAUUAUUUUGGAAAACGUUAAAGUUCAAAACUCUUAAUGGUUUUAUUAGGCAAUAAAAGACACAGUGGGCCAAGGAUAAAGUUUGUUUUGCAAUGUGCCGAAUAUAUAGGAGCAACGUUUAAAAGACUGAAAAAUGUUAUUAUAUAUUUCCGUAUGAAAAAUUUUUGAUUGAUACAUUUGUACAUAAUGUAAAUUAAGAAAAGUACUUUAAAUAAAA